This 383-nucleotide ribosomal RNA is filed under the name uncultured Clostridium sp. RNAcentral describes it as "bacterial SSU rRNA". It matches the Rfam family "Bacterial small subunit ribosomal RNA", at positions 395 to 795 of the family's 1533-position model. The record is from RNAcentral. Lineage: Bacteria; Bacillati; Bacillota; Clostridia; Eubacteriales; Clostridiaceae.
CGCCGCGUGAGUGAUGAAGGUCUUCGGAUCGUAAAGCUCUGUCUUCAGGGACGAUAAUGACGGUACCUGAGGAGGAAGCCACGGCUAACUACGUGCCAGCAGCCGCGGUAAUACGUAGGUGGCGAGCGUUGUCCGGAUUUACUGGGCGUAAAGGGAGCGUAGGCGGAUUUUUAAGUGAGAUGUGAAAUACCCGGGCUCAACUUGGGUGCUGCAUUUCAAACUGGAAGUCUAGAGUGCAGGAGAGGAGAGUGGAAUUCCUAGUGUAGCGGUGAAAUGCGUAGAGAUUAGGAGGAACACCAGUGGCGAAGGCGACUCUCUGGACUGUAACUGACGCUGAGGCUCGAAAGCGUGGGGAGCAAACAGGAUUAGAUACCCUGGUAGUC